Molecule: non-coding RNA, 2440 nt
Organism: Danio rerio (zebrafish)
Lineage: Eukaryota; Metazoa; Chordata; Actinopteri; Cypriniformes; Danionidae
Source: RefSeq, a predicted model, not a curated record
UUAGAUAUUUUAGGGUAAGAGGUUUUUGAGUUAUUGCCGUCCAUCACUGAACCUGUCAGGAAUAUCGAAAACAAAACCAACUUAACCCCUCUCUGCCGGUAUGUGGUCGUUGUGUGCUUUUUACAAGAUUAGUCAGCAUGCAAGACUGUGUCUGACCGCUGGUUUUAAGGUUAGAAACUAGUCAACUCAAGGAUUAAAAAGGAAAACAUAGUGUAUCCCACGAGUAUGUGGGAAAACACCCACUGCUGCACCUAUGUUUUUAACGAAUUGUGGGAUCACGCAAAACAUCUUAGAACUGAUUUUUUAUUAUAUUUUGUAUUUUAGAACGUCAGUGCUUAAUAAAUGUUUUCAUAAUCUGGUCAUAUGUUUUAUGAGGCAUAUUACAUCUAUGAUGCUCAUUAAAUGAAGCAUAGAUAUUAAUAUAUGUAAUUUUAAUGCCUUUAUUUUUGUAAAUUAAGUACACAGUCUGUUAUUUCUUCAUAACUGACCCUUGUCAAACAGCCUUGAUCAGAGAAGCAGAGAUAAACUACCGUAUUUCCCCAAUUAAUCGGCAUUCUGAAAAUAGUUAUUUUAAAUGCCUGGGGUUAUAAUUAAUUUUUGCGUAUUAAACACCCACCCGAAUAACCCUCAGUGGUGAUUAUAUACAUUAAAUUGGGGUAAACACAAAAUCAACUGUACAAAAUUUAAGUGAGGUACAUGUCUGAAUUUCUUUUGUGUAAUUUUCAUUUUUAUUUCUGUUGCAGGCAGAGUCUGUAUAUGUGGACACUUACUAUUUGCCCUCUCUACAGUUUCUCUUGUCUGUCCCCCACAAGCAGAGACCCACUGAUAGACCGCUGUUACCAGUUCUAGGGCUGACACAUCCGCACACGUCCACAUCACAAGUGUAUCCUGAAAAGGUAUGCAAGUUUUCCAAAUAAAAUAAAUCACAUUGUCCUUAAAGGUCUUUAACGAAAGUCUUCAGUUAUGGAAAAAUGAAAUGGAAAUGCAAUUUAUAAAAUAAAUUAAAAAAUGAAUAAAACCUUCACUAGCCAAAGAAUUGAAGUGGUCAGUCUCAGCCCCUCUUUUGGUGGUUUUAAAAAAAGGUAUUAUUCACUGAGGCUCAGGUGAAAAUAUUUAAAAUAUAUUUUAAAUAAUAAUAUUUUUUCUUCCAACUAAGAUACUUUCAUGUGAUAUAUAUGAGAUCUGGUUUGUGAUUUAAAAUAACAUUUUUGGUCCUUUUACUUCCUAGAUCAAGGAGGAGCAUCACAACAGUUUCGUUGAAGUAGACAUUCUUGUGGAAGCUUGAUGAGUACACACCAGGUUUUGCAGCUAAUGCAUGCCAAAGGAGGAGCAGCUAGUUGCAAGAUGCAUCCUCUGCUGGACAGUUUAAAUACACAGAACAUUGAGGAAAAAAAGAGAUGCUGUUGUCUGCUGCCUCAAUAACUACCUCGGGGAAAGACAAGAAGAUAUGUUCCAUGACUGGCAGGAAUGUGAGGAGUACACAGACAAAACGAUGAAGGAGAUUGUGAAGCACAAUUUGUCUAUUGUGAUCGGGGGAAAACAAGUGAUGGAAGGAUGAGGAAGCCAAACAGAGGCAUGCAUACUGCUGGGACUCAUAUGCAAUUAACAUUGAAUAUCCAAAGGAGCUGAAGAACACGUUUGAAGCUUUUCAAAAACUUUGUUUUAGAAAAUGAUGGGGCAAAACCACUGAAGAAGGUCCACAGCCUCAAAAAUAAGCUCAUGCAGUAGACAUUUCUCCUCUUACUUAAAGAGGAUCUUUUGUUUGGACAUGCCUUGAUGGAGUUGUAAUGGAGUGUUUUAUAUAUUUUUUUCUCUUCCAUCAUUUGCUUCACACACAGACAAAGACCCAUCCACUGUCUCAGCCCUCUCCAUUGCUCUGUGUUUUCCCCCAUAUUGACAGAAAAGGAAUACUAAUAGAAAGUGGCCUAAAGAAUUUUGAUCUCACCUACCGUCUUUUCUUCCCCAGUUGUUUGUUUAUUUUAUUCUCAUCCUAUCUGCGAGAGUGAGAGUAAGGACAAAAAAUAAAGAAUUUUGUUUUACUUUUUUCCGGAUAUUUGAUACUGUACAUGCACAAAAACAACCACAAGUCUGUGUGUGUGCUUUUGGCUUUUAAAAUAGAAUAAGUGGCCUUUGAAGUUUUUUUAUGCAAGUAGCCAAUUACCAGAAAAAAACUUUUGAAAAUGAGUAUAGUGAGUUAUAAAACAGGUUUAUUUGUUCAUUGUUGUGUGAAGCUGUUGUACUUUAUUUAGUACUCUUUUCUGUGUUUUAAUAAUUUGGUGUCCUAAAACGUGUAUAUGUUUUAUUAUUCAACAUUAUUGACACAUUUGAUAGAUAAGUGAGUUAUAAAACAGGUAUAUACUUGAAAUGUUGUGUAAAGCUGUUGUGCUGCACUAUAUUUUGAGUGUGUUUUAGGAUUUUUUUGAAUAAAACAUUAAGUUGA